This 407-nucleotide ribosomal RNA is filed under the name Lycosa godeffroyi. RNAcentral describes it as "partial 12S ribosomal RNA". Lineage: Eukaryota; Metazoa; Arthropoda; Arachnida; Araneae; Lycosidae. The record is from RNAcentral.
UAAACUAGGAUUAGAUACCCUAGUAUAUUAAAACCAUAUAAGGUAGUAAAAAUUUCUUUAAACCUAUUUAUUCUGGCGGCAUUUCAUCUUAUUAAAGGAACCUGUUUUCUAAUCGAUAAUCCACGAUAAGUUUUACUUAAAUUAAAAAUUUAUAUACCGCCAUCUAAAAAACUAAUUUAAUAAUAAUAUUUUCAAUAAAUAAUUAAAAAGUUAGGUCAAGGUGUAAUCUAUAUUUAAGUAAAUAAUGGGUUACAUUAAAAAAUAUUUAAGGAUAUUUUUAUAAAAGUAAAUUUUGAAAAGGGAUUUAGAAGUAAUAAUAAAAUAAUAUUUUAUUAUGAUUAAGAUAAUAAAUGGGCACAUAUCGCCCGUCACCCUUAUCAAAAGGUAAGAUAAGUCGUAACAUAGUA